UGGGCCUUACCGCCCGCGAGUGGUGCCUGUGCCGGCCAGUGACGAUCAGAAACUCAUAGAGAAGACGACCGACUCGGCCGCCGACGACUUCGGCACCUACCCGGCACUGCAACACCCAACCAGCAACGCUUGCAAUCGGAUUGGGGGCAUGGGCUCUUCGUCAGCGGAUGACCCUCAGACAUCACUGCCGCUGUGUGACAUCCCGUGGAAUCGCCUUUGCGACGCUAGCGCGCACAGCAGCCCACUCAGGCGUCAUUACCAUGCCGAUGAGGUGCCGCCGUCUUCCUCGGUAGUCACAGCAGCGCCGUCCACAGCUGCCUCACAUCGUUACCAACAGCUAGCAGCGCAGCACCUCUAUGGCGCCGCGAGCAGCAUCCCAGCGGCGGUGUUGGCGCCGAGUUCUAUCACACCAGCCACUGGUGGCUCUGGCACUGCCGUCAGGACUGUGCCCUUCUCCAAACUGCGCUACACAGACUCACGUGGCCACCCUCUUCCUAGUGCACACGAGGGCGGGUCUCUGCUGCACGGAGUGAAGCGAGGCGGCGGUAGCGGCGGCCCAGCGCUAGACAACCCCGCCGUAGGCUCUAGCGCACAGCGUGGGGCCGCCACGGAAGGGUGCACUGAAUCGAAUGAGCUGAGCGCACCCAGUACAUCGGCGGUGACGACUGGAGAAGCAUUGCGCUCGUCUUCAGUUCAGGGGCUUGGUGAUGGGCAUUCAACGAGUGCGAUGAAGCGAUCCGCGUCCGCGUGCGAAGCCUCUCAGCUCUCGCCAACGCAGUCGCGGUCGUCGACGGCGGCGCCAUCGUCGAACGCAACCGUCACCGUCACAGCAGAUGAUUGGCCACGGAGUCGCGGCAGUGCGACGCGGCGUCAGCUACAGCGACAGCUCCAGCGGCAACGGUAUCGAUCGUUUCCCUCGCGCAUUACAGCUCCAGCGACAUCCACCGCGGGCAAGCAUCCGCAGCCGCCGCGCACGGCGCACUGGGCGGUGAAGCUGAUCGAGGACUUUGUGACACAGGUGGCGGUGCAGCAAGAGUCGGCGGCGACGGCACUGACGAUUAUGCCGUUCUACAGUGCGGCAAGUGCUUUGGGCAGGAGAGCGACCGCUGGUGGUCGCGACGCCACCACAACAACCACUGUCGCUGACCUCACUGCGACCUUCUUGUCCUCACGCUACGGGGCGCUGCAGUGGCGCCCCAUACUGCACGAGUUUGCUGCCUGUCUGCACCGCUAUCGAAUACUCAGCCCCACAUGCGCGGUGUUCCGCGAGUACUUCAUCCAUGUCGACGCAGAAAACCUCGCCGACUUCCACUUGUUCUGUCGUCUCUACGCCGCUGGCGAUAUUCAGCACUGCUCGACGGUAGAGACGCGGCGUGUGGCGCUCGCGACAGCCGCCGCUGCAACCGUGCACACCAUCGUGUCGCGCCGCUACAUCGACGAACGAGAGGUGGGCGAUCGACUGCAGCGCAUGCUGCAGUAUGUAGUGCUGAUUGACUGCGCACCCUGCAUCGUCGUCGGGGCGGACGGUGGAGCCGCCAGCCGCGCUGCGUCAGGUGUUGUGUCGAUGUCUCGUCAGCCCCGGGUGCGUGUACAGUAUCGUUACGCCCGUGAGCCUCCCGCCCGCGCAAAGUGGGUGCCGCAACGACGACAUCUCACUGCUGACGAAAUCCGCAGGGUCAAGAAGGCGGUGCUUGGUUGGAUGGAAGAGGCGGCUCGCAAGGGCACUUGUGGGCGCGGCUGCGGUGCGGUGGGGCCGUACGAAGCGGUCGAUACGGCAGACGACGCGUGGCCUGAGGCUGCAGAGGGGGUUGAUCUGCAGCGUGUGUCGUUUGACCGCGAGGGCCGGGUGGAUGCGUAUGCGCUGUUGCAGGCGACCCUGGAGGCGGUGAAGCUUGUGUGCUGCAGCCGUCACCCUUCGCCUGCAAGACGCGACGAGGAUGCGGGGCACGUUGACGAUGGCGACGGUGUCGUCAAGCGGAUCGAAAAUGCGCCUGAGCGCUCCCAGCACCUUCAGCAGCAGUAUCGGCCGGUGAAAAACACUGCCCGCAGUCCGCAACUGCUGCGGGAGCUGGUGCCGCCACCGUCGCAGGCGUACAUGUAUCCACUGGAGGAAGUGAACCUGUCUCCCCCGCGGCCUCAGCACCGCAGUUCUGUGCAGAGGCCCACACAGCCCGAAAGCGAAGACGAUGACAGCGCUGAGGCUCGGUGCAUGACACAGACGUGCCAAGAGCCCCCCUCCAUGCCAUCUCGCACGCCGGUCUCCACCGGCGUCUCGGCUUCCCGUGUGUUGGCGGACAGCCUUUUGUUGUCCCCGUCCUGCAACAACGUUGCUUCACAGCUCCGCGGCAGCAGCAGCAGUAGCCGUCAUUCUAGUUCACUGCACCUCUGUCCAUCUGCCGGACAACGAACAUCUCCGCUCUCACCAUGCCGGCGGGUGGCGGCAGCAACGGGGCGCCGUGGUAACUCGCCCGCAAGUCGGGUGCAGCGGCGGGGUCAGAACAAAGGGGAAAGGGAGGUGGAGGAGAGCCGGCCUCGCUCGUCGCGCGACGGGCCCCACCCCCAUCACCCAUACGCGACACAGUUGCACGGCAAUCAGCUGUGGGUGGAGGCACAGCAGGAGGCUGCGGCAGCGUCGCAACGGCGAGACAGCUGCUGGCGCGACCACUACCCGCGCAUCUACCCGCGUGUGCAGCUCACUCCAUCGCCUCGAAAGCCCACCAAUGGCGCAUGCGCAGCGCACGCCGCCUUUGCAUUAUCAUCUUCUCCAGUGGAUGCCACCAGUGACUCCAUCGAUGCGGAGCUGCGCCGACGCCAGGCACGCGGUCGUGGCGGUGACUUGAUCGAGCCGCGGCAGAUGAUGGCCAACUCGGUCGAUCUCUUAUCGCGUGCGCGCCUUGCUGAUGGCCUCCAGCUGCCCAGGCCGUUUUCCCCAGUUGACCCACCAGCUUCCACGGUCACGCACCCUUCGCGCAUUCAUUCUGCCGCGGCGAGGUCGUCAAGCUCUGCAGCUCCCGCGGCACGAGCGAUCCGUGCCGAUGACUGCACAACAGCCAGCUCAUCGCUCGCCGCUCUCUCGCCGCGCACCAUGCCGUCUUCGACGGCUGCUAAGGUCGGUGUCGCCUCUGCCGGGCCUCACGCCAGCCACGAGGACGCGGCAGCCAUGGCGAGCAACACAGUUUUGUUAACCGAUGAAGAGCGAGCAAUGCUGUAUCAGCUGGAGAUCGCCCUGGACCGACUCGACACGCAGCACCAACGCAAUCACGUGACCAUCGCUUCUACUGCGGUGGCUGGUGCGACUGCUGCGAGAAAGGCAUAUUGAUAGAGGCAUCUGUGUGCGUGUGUGUGUUGCUGCUUCGAAGGCACUAAACUGAAUCGGUAGUCAACUGAAUGCACACUUGCCUUCCACAAUGCAGGGUGGUAGUGGUGCGGGUCUUGAGGACAUGGCGACUGGACAGAGGGCCAUGCGAAAGGGGCAUACAUUACCUUUGUGGGAGCGCGCGCAGUCCACCUGUUUCGCUCGCGGGAUCAUCUCUCCGGGUCCCACAUCCGCCGUCUCGUUCUCUCAAGCGAGCGAGGGGCUCAGAAAGAGGAGACUCGACGCAAACAACAGCAACACAAGCUGAAUGCACGAAGCAAAGCCGUUGCACACAACAUACCGCCAGCGGGAGAAGCCAUCGCCCAGAUGAGUCGUGAAUGGGGGAGGGCAGAUGGCAAGGUAAGCAUGACUCCCACGCGUAGGCUGGGAAUCAUCAAGCCCUCGCCCUCUCUUCACAUUCUUUUUGUGGCAUGCACUGAACUCGCCUCUCAGCCUCCGUUUUCGCAGGCGUUGAUGAUGCUGAUGAUGGAUGUGGAUGGCCGCGCUCGUGCCGUGUCCGGCGCGUUUGUUUCUCAGCCUCACUGCUUCCCGUAAAACCACUCCCGCUGGCAUCCACCGUAUCGGCCACUUCUCUCUCUUGCUGCGCAUCGUACCCUUCCCAUCUCCCCUUUCCUCCCGGUCCAACCGCGCGCCAUCUCACUCGCUGCAG
This 4025-nucleotide unclassified non-coding RNA is filed under the name Leishmania donovani. Its description in RNAcentral is "gene:LdHU3.25.1130(CDS-product:hypothetical_prote in_conserved)". The record is from RNAcentral. Lineage: Eukaryota; Euglenozoa; Kinetoplastea; Trypanosomatida; Trypanosomatidae.